Molecule: non-coding RNA, 260 nt
Organism: Pelobates cultripes (western spadefoot toad)
Lineage: Eukaryota; Metazoa; Chordata; Amphibia; Anura; Pelobatidae
Source: the annotation of a GenBank genome assembly
GGAGGGUGUGACUAGUGACAGAGUGAGGGAGGGAAGGGGUGACUAGUGAGAGUGAGGGAGGUGGUGAUUAGUGACAGAGGGAGGAAUGGGGUGACUAUCACUGUGUCACCCCCUUCCUCACUCUGUCACUAGUCACCCUCUCCCUCCCUCACUCGGUCACUAUUCACCCCCUCUCUCACUCUGUCACCAGUCAUUCCCUCACUCUGUCACCAGUCAUCCCUUCCUUCCCUCACUCUGCCACUAUUCAUCCCUUCCCUCAC